GCCGGUGUGGGUGGCAUGUGCCUGUAAUCCAAGUCGCUGGAGGCUGAGGUUGGUGGAUCAAGUGAGCUGAGGAGCUCUGGGCUGCAUGCACACUAUGUUGAAACGGGUGUCCACGCCUAAGUUCGGUAUCGAUAUGGUGUUCCAGGGGGAGCCCGGGACCACCAGGUUGUCUAAGGAGGGGGUGAACCGGCCCAAGGUCGGAAACGAAGCAGGUCAAAUCCCCCGUGCUGUCCUGUAGUUAGGAUAAUACCUGUGAGUAGAUGCUGCAGUGCAACCUUGGCAAAACAUCGAGACUUAAUCUUAA
This 304-nucleotide signal recognition particle RNA is filed under the name Oncorhynchus kisutch (coho salmon). RNAcentral describes it as "Metazoan signal recognition particle RNA (ENSOKIG00005022540.1)". It matches the Rfam family "Metazoan signal recognition particle RNA". From Rfam's summary of the family: The signal recognition particle (SRP) is a universally conserved ribonucleoprotein. It is involved in the co-translational targeting of proteins to membranes. The record is from Rfam by way of RNAcentral. Lineage: Eukaryota; Metazoa; Chordata; Actinopteri; Salmoniformes; Salmonidae.